Molecule: ribosomal RNA, 253 nt
Filed under: uncultured bacterium
Lineage: Bacteria
Description: partial 16S ribosomal RNA
Rfam family: Bacterial small subunit ribosomal RNA
Source: RNAcentral
UACGGAAGGUGCAAGCGUUGUUCGGAGUGAUUGGGUGUAAAGCGCACGUAGGCGGGUUUGUAAGUCGGUUGUGAAAGCCCUGGGCUCAACCCAGGAGAGUCAUCCGAGACUGCAGAUCUUGAAUGCCUGAGAGGUUAGUGGAAUUCCUGGUGUAGGAGUGAAAUCCGUAGAUAUCAGGAGGAACACCGGAGGCGAAGGCGGCUAACUGGUGGUGCAUUGACGCUGAGGUGCGAAAGCGUGGGUAGCAAACAGG